CGGUGUUCCUGGUAGCGUCAGCCUCCUGGCUUUUCCUUUUCCUCUUCCUCGACGCUUCAGGGCUCCGCGGCCUGCGCUGGACUGGAGGGUCCGCGUCACUCUCGCCCUCCUGCUUUCCGCGCUCUGACCCGCUCCCGCCUCCUGAGGGCACGACUUGGAGGAGCGCGGGCGGCGGGGCGUGAGCGAGCUGCCUCUGCCGCCAUCUUAGAGAAGGCGAGCGUGGGGUGUGCGUGGGCGCGAGUCGGCCUCCCGCGGUCCCGCCGCAGCGUGGCGCGGAGAGCCACAAUGUGAAGAAAGUCCUUGUACCCUUCGCCUUCCGCCAUAAUGCUUUAAAAAAAAAAGUCUGGGGCCGGGCGUGGUGGCUCACGCCUUUAAUCUCAACACUUUGGGAGGCUGAGCGGGUGGAUCACCUGACGUCGGGAGUUCGAGACCAGCCUGACCAACAUGGAGUUACCCCAUCUCUACUAAAAAUACAAAAUUAGCUGGGUGUGGUGGCGCAUACCUGUAAUCCCAGCUACUUGGGAAGCUGAGGCAGGAGAAUCGCUUGAACCUGGGAGGCAGAGGUUGCGGUGGGCCGAGAUCGCACCAUUGCGCUCCAGCCUGGGCAACGAGAGCAAAACUCGGUCUCAAAAAAAAAAAAUAGUCUGGAAACAAUUCAAAUGUAUAUCAAUAGGAGGAUGGGAAGACAAAUUGUGGGCCCAGCACAAUGACUUAACACCUGUAAUCCCAACACUCUGGGAGGCCAAGCCAUGAGGAUCACUGGAGGCCAGGAGUUUGAGACUAGCCUGAGCAACAUAGCGAGACUCUGUCUUUACCAAAAAAAAAUUAAAACUUAGCUGAGCAUGUUGGCACAUGCCUGGAGUCCCAGCUACUUGGGAGGCUGAGGCAAGAGAAUUGCAUGAAUCCAGGAGUUCAAGGUUGCAGUGAGGCGUGAUCACACCACUGUACUUCACCCUGGGUGAGAGCAAGACCUUGUCUUAAAAAAGUAAAAGAGUAAAACAAAUUGUGAUACAGUCAUACGAUGGAGUACUAUUGAGCAAGUCAAAGGAAAGGACUGCUGAUACAACAUGGACAAAUCUCAAAAACAUUGCAUUUGGCAAAAGAAGCCAGACACAGAGUACAUAGCAUAUGAAGCCAUUUAUAUAAAAUUUAAGAACAGGAAAAAGUAAUCUAUGUUUAGUAUCUUCUUAUGGCAGAGGUAGUAGGUUGGGAUUUUAGUGGAAAGGAUUAUGAGGGAACAUGGUAGGAUAGUGAAAAUGUUCUGCACUGUCUCAGCUGCACUAAUGACAUAUAGCUAUUAAAAUCUAUUAAUUAAAACUUAAAAUUCAUUUCCACUGUCACAGUAGCUACAUUUUAAGUGUUCAAUAGCCACAUGUGGCUACUGCCUACUAAGUUGGACAGUGCAAAUACCGACUUCUAUUAUCUCAGAAGUUCUACUAGAGAGUUCUAGUCUAGACGUUGUUUUAUGCAGGUGUUUACAUUUUUCAAAAUUGUAAUUAAUAUGCAUUAUAUGCCAGUAAUACCUGCC
RNAcentral lists this long non-coding RNA (1528 nucleotides) under Pan troglodytes (chimpanzee). RNAcentral's name for it is "long non-coding RNA NONPTRT017382". The record is from RNAcentral. Lineage: Eukaryota; Metazoa; Chordata; Mammalia; Primates; Hominidae.